UCUCCAGUGGCGCAAUGGGUUAGCGCGCGGUACUUAUAAUGCCGAGGAUGUGAGUUCGAAUCUCACCUGGGGAA
Molecule: transfer RNA, 74 nt
Filed under: Ixodes scapularis (black-legged tick)
Lineage: Eukaryota; Metazoa; Arthropoda; Arachnida; Ixodida; Ixodidae
Description: tRNA-Ile
Rfam family: tRNA
About the family: Transfer RNA (tRNA) molecules are approximately 80 nucleotides in length. Their secondary structure includes four short double-helical elements and three loops (D, anti-codon, and T loops).
Source: RNAcentral